AAGUCUGCCACUGUUUCCACUGUUUCCCCAUCUAUUUCCCAUGAAGUGAUGGGACCGGAUGCCAUGGUCUUCAUUUUCUGAAUGUUGAGUUUUAAGCCAACUUAUUCACUCUCCACUUUCACCUUCAUCAAGAGGCUUUUUAGUUCCUCUUCACUUUCUGCCAUCAGGGUGGUGUCAUCUGCAUAUAUGAGGUUAUUGAUAUUUCUCCCAGCAAUCUUGAUCCAGCUUGUGCUUCUCCAGCCCAGCCUGUCUCAUGAUGUACUCUGCAUAUAAGUUAAUAAGUAAAUAAGCAGGGUGACCACAUACAGCUUUCACGUACUCCUUUUCCUAUUUGGAACCAGUCUGUUGUUCCAUGUCCAGUUCUAACUCUUGCUUCCUGACCUGCAUACAAAUUUCUCAAGAGCCAUGUCAGGUUUCUUUUACAACUACGAAAACUGUAACUUUAAAAUCCUAAAACAGCAAUAAAUAAAACUGGAAUAUCAUUACCAAAUCAGUAUUCUGAAGAAAAGAAAUCUGGUAGAAGUAAAAAUAUUUGAUAAAAAUGAAAUAGAUAAUAUGCAGAAGUUACUAGUUUAAAUCAGGAGAAAACAGAGAUCUAAACUUGGUUUGCUCGACCCCUACUAACCUGCACUAUCUAGGAGCUUGACUACUCUUUGAGAAAAUUCUGUUCCAGUGUCAUCUUACCUUGUUUAGAUGGUGAACAACAUAUUCAAUACGUUCAAUGUGUUUUACAUAUACCCAACCUGUGGCUUUCAAAACUUUAAAUCUGCAAACAAUGUGAUUUAUAUGAUUAAUACAUUUGUAUUCUGAAGCACAAGAAAACUUAUGAAAAGUAAUUAACAUUUGAAAAUACUGAACUCCUCCCUCAUCUCCUUAAUCUAAUCAAUUUUCACUAGAUACUUUUCCUAUGGAUAAAGCAAAAAUGAUAUAUAUUUUUAAAAAUGAGUUGCACUUAAACUCCCUUACUAUAUAAAACAGUAAAGAACAUACAAGUUUUGUUCCCUCCACCCUACUACUCUCUAAUAUUUAGGAUCUUGACAGCUCUGUUUCAAAACAAAAGGGAAGAAAGUGUCUUGGCCUCCCUCCCUAGAUGUGGGAGGAGCUGUAGGACUUGGCCCUGGAAGGGGCACUGGCUUCAGGCAUUGUUGGAGCCCUGGCCGCGCCUCUCAGCCCUGCUCUCUCUGCCUGAUCUCUCAGAGCCUCGUCAUAGAGGUCUGGGAAGGAAGUCCGGACGGUAUCAUGGAUCUUCGCCAAUACCUCCAACACCUCCAUCUUAUUGGUUUCAAACAAGCUUUCGGGCCACACAGGAACUCGUAGUGUGGAGCAUCGCCACUGGGCACCUGUCGGUACUUCAGAAUCCCGGACUUUCCUCUACUGAACAGAACCAGGGUCCAGCAACCCGGCACCCAGAUCUACCACCUGUGGACCCAGGUUAUGUCCUGAGAUCCCAUGUGCGUAACCGAUGGACAUUGGACCUAAGAGCCAGUAAACCAAGCAGGAAGAAUUUGGGAGCCCGAGCCUGAUAGCCUUUCUGGAGCUGCUGAGACAGACAGUGAGGGCACUCUGGGGCUCCUUCUUGUGUGCUGAGUGAUGCUGUCUGUCCUCUAUCCCUGUCUUCCUCUGACCUUAAUGGUGCAUUAUGUCCCGUCUGCUGUCCUAAGGGCAAGACCUCACCUGGAAGAUGUCACAUCCCCAGACUCCUGGUGAGAAGUGCACCCGCAUCUCAUUUGGAGGCUUUUGCGUAAGGCUUCCUGGAAAUGGCUGCUGCAGAUAAGAUAAGCCAGAGGGAAGGAUGUGAGAAUUCCUUCUGUCGUGUGGAACCCCUCACAUCUCACUUCAUAUUGACUGCAGGCGGAGCUUGGAAACCCUUCCCUUUCUGGUAUAAAACCACCCCUGUCCCCAACCAUGCCCCACACAAUCCCAGCAGAGAUAGUGAAGGGGCUCCUUAGCCUGACGGUUCUCACUGUGGGCUCUUAUUCGACUGCAGGGGCAUUGCUUGAA
RNAcentral lists this long non-coding RNA (2001 nucleotides) under Bos indicus x Bos taurus (hybrid cattle). RNAcentral describes it as "lncRNA (ENSBIXG00005022156.1)". Lineage: Eukaryota; Metazoa; Chordata; Mammalia; Artiodactyla; Bovidae. The record is from RNAcentral.